GGGACAGUUAUUGAAAUUUAUCCUGAAUUUGAAGGAGACAUUCUCUGCAACUUGGGUGUUAAUACUGUUCACGACAAUCUGAAUGAGACAUACACUGCAACUUUUGUAUGCGCACACUUGCACUAGGAAUGCAUGGAUAUCAAGAUGUUGCAGUCUGAAGACCAUUUUCUCCCUUGCCAACCAUUUGGCAAAUGGUAUUUAU
This 202-nucleotide unclassified non-coding RNA is filed under the name Hevea brasiliensis (rubber tree). The record is from RNAcentral. Lineage: Eukaryota; Viridiplantae; Streptophyta; Magnoliopsida; Malpighiales; Euphorbiaceae.